ACAAUGGAGAGUUUGAUCCUGGCUCAGGAUGAACGCUAGCUACAGGCUUAACACAUGCAAGUCGAGGGGAAACGAUAUUGGAAGCUUGCUUCCGAUAGGCGUCGACCGGCGCACGGGUGAGUAACGCGUAUCCAACCUGCCCACCACUUGGGGAUAACCUUGCGAAAGUAAGACUAAUACCCAAUGACGUCUCUAGAAGA
This 200-nucleotide ribosomal RNA is filed under the name Segatella copri. RNAcentral's name for it is "partial 16S ribosomal RNA". It matches the Rfam family "Bacterial small subunit ribosomal RNA", at positions 1 to 189 of the family's 1533-position model. Lineage: Bacteria; Pseudomonadati; Bacteroidota; Bacteroidia; Bacteroidales; Prevotellaceae. The record is from RNAcentral.